UAGCUGUGAUUUUGUUUCCCAUACUUAUGUAUUCUUUCCAAAUGGGUGCAACUGGUGCAGCAAUUUCCACAGUUGUGUCUCAAUAUGUUGUCACCUUCUUAAUGCUAUGGUUUCUAAAUAAGAGAGCAAUACUACUGCCUCCAAAGAUGGGAUCAUUACAAUUUGGAGGAUACAUAAAAUCUGGUGGUUUUCUUCUUGGAAGAACUCUUGCUGUUCUAACAACCAUGACUUUGGGGACAUCAAUGGCUGCUCAUCA
This is a long non-coding RNA of Humulus lupulus (European hop), 256 nucleotides long. RefSeq lists it as uncharacterized. The record is from RefSeq and is a predicted model, not a curated record. Lineage: Eukaryota; Viridiplantae; Streptophyta; Magnoliopsida; Rosales; Cannabaceae. The transcript has 3 exons.